AAGGAUGAGAAGCUUCGACUAAGGUUCGAUUCGAGCGAAAGCGAGAAAGCGUUGCCGCAGGCAACGACCCGAAGGGCGAAGCGCGCAGCGCUGAGUCAUCCUUCCCCCACCACCA
RNAcentral lists this small RNA (115 nucleotides) under Salmonella enterica subsp. enterica serovar Infantis. Its description in RNAcentral is "partial RtT sRNA". It matches the Rfam family "RtT RNA", at positions 18 to 130 of the family's 130-position model. From Rfam's summary of the family: This family represents a bacterial cis-regulatory element known as RtT RNA. The exact function of RtT is unknown although it is thought that it may be involved in changing the cellular response in relation to amino acid starvation. RNAcentral also lists the same sequence under 5 other names. The record is from RNAcentral. Lineage: Bacteria; Pseudomonadati; Pseudomonadota; Gammaproteobacteria; Enterobacterales; Enterobacteriaceae.